Leptonychotes weddellii (Weddell seal) is the source of this 491-nucleotide non-coding RNA. The record is from RefSeq and is a predicted model, not a curated record. NCBI's taxonomy places the organism in Eukaryota, Metazoa, Chordata, Mammalia, Carnivora, Phocidae.
UCCUGAAGUGGAUAAAACUGAUCGACAACUUUGAAGGAGAGUAUGACUAUGUGACCAACGAGGGGACAGUGUUCACAUUCAAGACAAAUCGCCAUUCGCCCAACUAUCGCCUGAUCAACAUUGACUUCACGGAUCCGGAGGAGUCAAAGUGGAAAGUGCUCGUUCCUGAGCAUGAGAAAGAUGUCUUAGAAUGGGUAGCUUGCGUGAGGUCUAACUUUUUGGUGUUAUGCUACCUUCACGACGUGAGAAACAUUCUGCAGCUUCACGACCUAGCCACCGGUGCUCUCCUCAAGACCUUCCCACUGGAGGUCGGCAGCGUUGUGGGGUACAGCGGUCAGAAGAAGGACACCGAAAUCUUCUAUCAGUUUACUUCCUUUUUAUCUCCAGGUAUCAUUUAUCACUGUGACCUCACCAAAGAGGAGCUGGAGCCACGAGUCUUCCGAGAGGUUACUGUGAAAGGGAUCGAUGCUUCCGAUUACCAGACAGUCCAG